UAUACCCGAGUACACUUCAU
Molecule: microRNA, 20 nt
Filed under: Schistosoma japonicum
Lineage: Eukaryota; Metazoa; Platyhelminthes; Trematoda; Strigeidida; Schistosomatidae
Description: miRNA-3147
Source: RNAcentral